UCCCCCUAUCUUCUUUCAUCUUUAUCUGGUUGUAUCACCUAGUGCCAAUCCCCAAGCAUGUGCACAGUAGAUAGCAUGCAGCCAAGAAUUAAUGAUAUCCCAAGAUAACAUAGUGUGGUAUGCAUGGAAAACCCUUAUAGGGGCCACUUGCAGAGGUCACAUAUGGGCGGUCUCAGCAUCAUCCAAGAUCGAACACAAUCAUCUGAGAUCAGAUGCAAUCGUCUAAGGUCGACUUCGGCAUAUGCUUGUUUAAGGUAUCUCUUGCAGCAAAUUUUGGAGCUGUUAAAAGCUAGAUCAGUUCAAGGGGCCACUUGUGCACGCGAAAGCAUGACUACUCGAGGGGUCCGUCCGUAGAUAGCCUCAUCAUGAUCCAAAGUCAGAUGCAUGAGGUUCCUAUUCCUCCUAUUGAAGAGUGGGAUCUUCUUCACCUUCACUGAAGGGUGGGGUUUUCUGCUUCCCUACUGAAGAGUAAAGUCUUCGACUUUCCUAUUGAAGAAUAGGGCCUUUGGUCAACGAAUUUCGGCUCUCGCCU
Molecule: long non-coding RNA, 532 nt
Filed under: Elaeis guineensis (African oil palm)
Lineage: Eukaryota; Viridiplantae; Streptophyta; Magnoliopsida; Arecales; Arecaceae
Description: long non-coding RNA (EGUI_LNC024281)
Source: RNAcentral